GUCAAACUAAAGCUGAUUUAUUUUACACUCUUACUCUUUUGAGGAAGCACUGUACUAGUCAGUCAUGUCACAUGAAGUGUGCUGAAUGUGCUGGUUUGUGUCGCCACAUAUUUGAAUGCUCCUGCUAUGAUUAUGCAAAUGGUCAUAUUUGCAAACAUUUACAUGGACUACAAAUUAAACUAAUAAAUUCAGAAGUACCUGGUACUAGUGAAGCAGAGAGUAUAACAGUAAACUAUGACAGUGCAAUGGAGAGCACUAACAUUGCAAUCCAUGAUCCCGUUUCUAUUCCAUCAGGUUCAUCUGUGAAAGUAACAGAGUGUAAAACAAUGAUUACCGAACUUAGUGCCAUGUUUAGUGAAUCAAAUGCUGACAAUAUUGCACCAGUUGUAGAACGAAUUCACACACUACUGUAGAAUGCUCUAAAAACAGCUCAAGCUGUAGAAAACUGUACUACACUUGGUGAUACUAGUGACAACAUGAUAGUGGAAGAGUUUGAAAUUAGAAGAUCAAUUUGUCCGGAUCAGUGUUUGGAAAAGCAGCCUCAGUUUCACAGAACUACUAGGCCUAAACAUCGCACUUCUAAGCAUAUAUUAAAGAAAGCUGAUGCUUCGAGACGACUAGACAUUAUCAAAUCGCUAGAACAAAAUGAAGCAAUAGAAUAUUUAAUGACACUGCUGGAUACAGAUGACAAUGGGGAAAAUGUCAAUGCAGAUCAUACCUCUAACCUUCCAAUUUACUGUACAUGCAGAAAGACAGAUGAUGGAUCACUGAUGGUACAAUGUGCAAGAUGUUCAGAAUGGUUUCAUUUGCAUUGCUUGACUAUCAGUGAAGAAGAACUUCCUGAUGGUGACUGGAUUUGUAAUUCAUGUAUGUAGCUUUUUGA
Molecule: unclassified non-coding RNA, 883 nt
Filed under: Amphimedon queenslandica
Lineage: Eukaryota; Metazoa; Porifera; Demospongiae; Haplosclerida; Niphatidae
Description: histone demethylase JHD2-like, transcript variant X1
Source: RNAcentral